AUUUAAAUAGUUUAGUUAAAAUUUUGAUUUGUGGAAUCAAGGAUAUGAGAUAAAAUAUCAUUUUAAAUA
This 69-nucleotide transfer RNA is filed under the name Eumantispa harmandi. Its description in RNAcentral is "tRNA-His". It matches the Rfam family "tRNA". From Rfam's summary of the family: Transfer RNA (tRNA) molecules are approximately 80 nucleotides in length. The record is from RNAcentral. Lineage: Eukaryota; Metazoa; Arthropoda; Insecta; Neuroptera; Mantispidae.